Molecule: transfer RNA, 83 nt
Filed under: Enhygromyxa salina
Lineage: Bacteria; Pseudomonadati; Myxococcota; Nannocystales; Nannocystaceae
Description: tRNA-Leu
Rfam family: tRNA
About the family: Transfer RNA (tRNA) molecules are approximately 80 nucleotides in length. Their secondary structure includes four short double-helical elements and three loops (D, anti-codon, and T loops).
Source: RNAcentral
GCGAAGGUGGCGGAAUUGGUAGACGCGCUAGACUAAGGAUCUAGUGUCUCACGACGUGGGGGUUCAAGUCCCCCCCUUCGCAC